GCCCAAAUCAAAAGAGCUAUAAGCUUUUUGGUCUGUCCUUUGCAUACACAAAACCCAAAUGCUUAAUCUAAAACUCAAGUUGAUAGGUUCCGGGCAGAUUGUGUUUAGCUGGAGUAAUAGCUACUAGAGAUUAAGUAUAUCAUCAUGUCACAAAAGGCACUAGACUACGAGUCGAUUAAUGAAAAUGUGAAAAAGGCUCAGUAUGCUGUGAGAGGAGAAUUGUAUCUGCGAGCUUCUGAGCUUCAAAAAGAAG
Non-coding RNA from Cucurbita pepo subsp. pepo (vegetable marrow), 253 nucleotides. The record is from RefSeq and is a predicted model, not a curated record. Lineage: Eukaryota; Viridiplantae; Streptophyta; Magnoliopsida; Cucurbitales; Cucurbitaceae.